Molecule: ribosomal RNA, 253 nt
Filed under: uncultured bacterium
Lineage: Bacteria
Description: partial 16S ribosomal RNA
Rfam family: Bacterial small subunit ribosomal RNA
Source: RNAcentral
GACGGAAGGUGCAAGCGUUGCUCGGAAUCACUGGGCGUAAAGGGUGCGUAGGCGGCCGUGCAAGUCUGGCGUGAAAGCCCCGGGCUCAGCCCGGGAAGUGCGCUCGAAACUGCGCGGCUCGAGUGCCGGAGGGGAGAGUGGAAUUCCUGGUGUAGCGGUGAAAUGCGUAGAUAUUCGGAAGAACACCAGUGGCGAAGGCGACUUACUGGACACAUAUUGACGCUGAGGUGCGAAAGCGUGGGGAGCAAACAGG